RNAcentral lists this ribosomal RNA (482 nucleotides) under uncultured bacterium. Its description in RNAcentral is "partial 16S ribosomal RNA". It matches the Rfam family "Bacterial small subunit ribosomal RNA", at positions 30 to 507 of the family's 1533-position model. The record is from RNAcentral.
AUUGAACGCUGGCGGCAUGCCUUACACAUGCAAGUCGAACGGUAACGGGCCUUCGGGUGCCGACGAGUGGCGAACGGGUGAGUAAUACAUCGGAACGUGCCCGAUCGUGGGGGAUAACGAGGCGAAAGCUUUGCUAAUACCGCAUACGAUCUACGGAUGAAAGCAGGGGACCGCAAGGCCUUGCGCGGACGGAGCGGCCGAUGGCAGAUUAGGUAGUUGGUGGGAUAAGAGCUUACCAAGCCGACGAUCUGUAGCUGGUCUGAGAGGAUGAUCAGCCACACUGGGACUGAGACACGGCCCAGACUCCUACGGGAGGCAGCAGUGGGGAAUUUUGGACAAUGGGCGCAAGCCUGAUCCAGCCAUGCCGCGUGCAGGAUGAAGGCCUUCGGGUUGUAAACUGCUUUUGUACGGAACGAAAAGCCUUCUUUUAAUACAGGAGGGUCAUGACGGUACCGUAAGAAUAAGCACCGGCUAACUACGUG